GCGGGCGUAGUUCAAUGGUAGAACGGCAGCUUCCCAAGCUGCACACACGGGUUCGAUUCCCGUCGCCCGCUCCA
RNAcentral lists this transfer RNA (74 nucleotides) under Hansschlegelia plantiphila. RNAcentral's name for it is "tRNA-Gly". It matches the Rfam family "tRNA". Rfam says of the family: Transfer RNA (tRNA) molecules are approximately 80 nucleotides in length. Lineage: Bacteria; Pseudomonadati; Pseudomonadota; Alphaproteobacteria; Hyphomicrobiales; Methylopilaceae. RNAcentral also lists the same sequence under 1 other name. The record is from RNAcentral.